Molecule: small nucleolar RNA, 91 nt
Filed under: Tetranychus urticae (two-spotted spider mite)
Lineage: Eukaryota; Metazoa; Arthropoda; Arachnida; Trombidiformes; Tetranychidae
Description: snoRNA tetur32g02273
Source: RNAcentral
GAUUGCAUUAUGGGCUAUAUCAUGAUAUGACUAAAUAUCGGAUUUUUAUUCGAUAUUUAGUCAUAUCAUGAUAUAGCCCAUAAUGCAAUCA